RNAcentral lists this ribosomal RNA (443 nucleotides) under uncultured bacterium. RNAcentral describes it as "bacterial SSU rRNA". It matches the Rfam family "Bacterial small subunit ribosomal RNA", at positions 337 to 797 of the family's 1533-position model. The record is from RNAcentral.
GCCUACGGGGGGCAGCAGUGGGGAAUAUUGCGCAAUGGGGGAAACCCUGACGCAGCAACGCCGCGUGAGCGAUGAAGGCCUUCGGGUCGUAAAGCUCUGUCUUUUGGGACGAUAAUGACGGUACCAAAGGAGGAAGCCACGGCUAACUACGUGCCAGCAGCCGCGGUAAUACGUAGGUGGCGAGCGUUGUCCGGAAUUACUGGGCGUAAAGGGUGCGUAGGCGGAAGCUUAAGUCAGAUGUGAAAUCCCAAGGCUCAACCUUGGAGUGGCAUUUGAAACUGGGUUUCUUGAGUGCAGGAGAGGAAAGCGGAAUUCCUAGUGUAGCGGUGAAAUGCGUAGAUAUUAGGAAGAACACCAGUGGCGAAGGCGGCUUUCUGGACUGUAACUGACGCUGAGGCACGAAAGCGUGGGGAGCAAACAGGAUUAGAUACCCCGGUAGUCCG